RNAcentral lists this ribosomal RNA (447 nucleotides) under uncultured bacterium. RNAcentral describes it as "bacterial SSU rRNA". It matches the Rfam family "Bacterial small subunit ribosomal RNA", at positions 330 to 793 of the family's 1533-position model. The record is from RNAcentral.
ACCAGACUCCUACGGGAGGCAGCAGUGGGGGAUAUUGCACAAUGGGGGGAACCCUGAUGCAGCGACGCCGCGUGGGUGAAGGAGUAUUUCGGUAUGUAAAGCCCUAUCGGCAGGGAAGAAGCAAGACGGUACCUGACUAAGAAGCCCCGGCUAACUACGUGCCAGCAGCCGCGGUAAUACGUAGGGGGCGAGCGUUAUCCGGAUUCACUGGGUGUAAAGGGAGCGUAGACGGCCAAGCAAGCCAGGGGUGAAAGCCCGGGGCCCAACCCCGGGACUGCCCUUGGAACUGCUGGGCUGGAGUGCGGGGGGGGCAGGCGGAAUUCCUGGUGUAGCGGCGAAAUGCGUAGAUAUCAGGAGGAACACCGGUGGCGAAGGCGGCCUGCUGGACUGCAACUGACGUUGAGGCCCGAAAGCGUGGGGAGCAAACAGGAUUAGAUACCCCGGUAU